This 495-nucleotide ribosomal RNA is filed under the name uncultured bacterium. Its description in RNAcentral is "partial 16S ribosomal RNA". It matches the Rfam family "Bacterial small subunit ribosomal RNA", at positions 28 to 507 of the family's 1533-position model. The record is from RNAcentral.
GAUGAACGCUGGCGGCGUGCCUAAUACAUGCAAGUAGAACGCUGAAGGAGGAGCUUGCUCUUCUGGAUGAGUUGCGAACGGGUGAGUAACGCGUAGGUAACCUGCCUGGUAGCGGGGGAUAACUAUUGGAAACGAUAGCUAAUACCGCAUGACAACAGUUAUUGCAUGAUAACUGUUUAAAAGGGGCAACUGCUCCACUACCAGAUGGACCUGCGUUGUAUUAGCUAGUUGGUGAGGUAACGGCUCACCAAGGCGACGAUACAUAGCCGACCUGAGAGGGUGAUCGGCCACACUGAGAGUGAGACACGGCCCAGACGGCUACGGGAGGCAGCAGUAGGGAAUCUUCGGCAAUGGACGGAAGUCUGACCGAGCAACGCCGCGUGAGUGAAGAAGGUUGUCGGAUCGUAAAGCUCUGUUGUAAGAGAAGAACGAGUGUGAGAGUGGAAAGUUCACACUGUGACGGUAUCUUACCAGAAAGGGACGGCUAACUACGUG